ACCUACGGGACGCAGCAGUGGGGAAUAUUGCGCAAUGGACGAAAGUCUGACGCAGCGACGCCGCGUGAGGGAUGAAGGUUUUCGGAUCGUAAACCUCUGUCAGGAGGGAAGAAAGCGCAUGGCGCCAAUCAGCCAUGCGUUGACGGUACCUGACUAAGAAGCCCCGGCUAACUACGUGCCAGCAGCCGCGGUAAUACGUAGGGGGCAAGCGUUAUCCGGAUUUACUGGGUGUAAAGGGAGCGUAGACGGCCAGACAAGUCAGAAGUGAAAGCCCAGGGCUCAACCCUGGGACUGCUUUUGAAACG
RNAcentral lists this ribosomal RNA (305 nucleotides) under uncultured bacterium. RNAcentral's name for it is "bacterial SSU rRNA". It matches the Rfam family "Bacterial small subunit ribosomal RNA", at positions 337 to 634 of the family's 1533-position model. The record is from RNAcentral.